This 81-nucleotide transfer RNA is filed under the name Tatumella ptyseos ATCC 33301. It matches the Rfam family "tRNA". Rfam says of the family: Transfer RNA (tRNA) molecules are approximately 80 nucleotides in length. Their secondary structure includes four short double-helical elements and three loops (D, anti-codon, and T loops). The record is from Rfam by way of RNAcentral. Lineage: Bacteria; Pseudomonadati; Pseudomonadota; Gammaproteobacteria; Enterobacterales; Erwiniaceae.
AAGGUGGCGGAAUUGGUAGACGCGCUAGCUUCAGGUGUUAGUGUCUUAACGGACGUGAGGGUUCAAGUCCCUCUCUUCGCA